Molecule: ribosomal RNA, 789 nt
Filed under: uncultured bacterium
Lineage: Bacteria
Description: bacterial SSU rRNA
Rfam family: Bacterial small subunit ribosomal RNA
Source: RNAcentral
AGAGUUUGAUCAUGGCUCAGGAUGAACGCUAGCGGCAGGCCUAAUACAUGCAAGUCGAACGGAUAUGAGGACUUCGGUUCUCAUGUUAGUGGCGCACGGGUGCGUAACGCGUAUGCAACCUACCUUUUACUGGGGGAUAGCCCGGAGAAAUCCGGAUUAAUACCGCAUAACAUCAUUUGAGGGCAUCCGAAGAUGAUUAAAGAUUUAUUGGUAAAAGAUGGGCAUGCGUGACAUUAGCUAGUUGGUUGAGGUAACGGCUCACCAAGGCGACGAUGUCUAGGGGUUCUGAGAGGAUGAUCCCCCACACUGGUACUGAGAUACGGACCAGACUCCUACGGGAGGCAGCAGUAGGGAAUAUUGGGCAAUGGACGCAAGUCUGACCCAGCCAUGCCGCGUGCAGGAUGAAGGCCUUCUGGGUUGUAAACUGCUUUUAUCUAGGAAGAAAAAACCCUUGCGAGGGGAACUGACGGUACUAGGUGAAUAAGCACCGGCUAACUCCGUGCCAGCAGCCGCGGUAAUACGGAGGGUGCAAGCGUUGUCCGGAUUUAUUGGGUUUAAAGGGUGCGUAGGCGGCCCGUUAAGUCCGUGGUGAAAGCCAACAGCUCAACUGUUGAACUGCCAUGGAUACUGACGGGCUUGAGUACAGACGAGGUUGGCGGAAUGGAUGGUAGCGGUGAAAUGCAUAGAUACCAUCCAGAACACCGAUUGCGUAGGCAGCUAACUAGGCUGUAACUGACGCUGAGGCACGAAAGCGUGGGGAGCGAACAGGAUUAGAUACCCUAGUAGUCC